CCUCACAACUCUUUGAUGCCUCACUUGAAAUGUCUCAUGACAAGGACCGGAGCUCCACUCCAGUACCUGAGCAGUUGGAUACGACAGUUGGAUCCUCCAGCCAACCUGACCCUAUGGAUGCGACGUUUCACCUGUCCACAGCAACGGAGAGCUCGGAUACUGAAGAUGAUGAAUACGAGAAGCAGCAGCAGCCUGGGCACUCAAAAUCUCGCAGUCGUCAAACAGUAAAUCCGGAGGAGCGGUU
Long non-coding RNA from Ornithodoros turicata, 244 nucleotides. RefSeq lists it as uncharacterized. The transcript is spliced from 4 exons. Lineage: Eukaryota; Metazoa; Arthropoda; Arachnida; Ixodida; Argasidae. The record is from RefSeq and is a predicted model, not a curated record.